Molecule: long non-coding RNA, 4628 nt
Organism: Pseudopipra pipra
Lineage: Eukaryota; Metazoa; Chordata; Aves; Passeriformes; Pipridae
Exons: 4
Source: RefSeq, a predicted model, not a curated record
CUCGCACAGCGCGCUCCUUCCGCCGAGGCCGUGGCAGGAACGCCAAGUAGUCCCAACCGCCUCCUCCGCCUCACUCAGCAAAACGCUCCGUCGCGCCCUUCCUUACCCUGGACACUCUUACAGGAACGGGGGGAUAAGACUUUCCCUUCCCGCAUUCCACCCCCCCCCGGCUGGAUAAUCGGGAUGUAAGGGAUGGGGGGUGGGGGAGGUGAAAAAAGCCCAGCGCCGGCUGCGGCGGAGGGAUCCGGAGGCGCGGAGGAGUGAGGAGGCGCGGGGAGCGCUGCGCGGAGCGGGGGGGGGGGGUGAGCGGGAAAACGCGGCGCGGAGCCGGAACAGCGCCCCCCCCUCCCCUGCGGCGGGGGCGGGAACAGCGCCCCCCCCUCCCCUCACCCUCUGAGGGGGUCGCUGUGAGGGGUUGGGGGGGGGGACGCGCCAAAGUUUUGGGAAACUUUCCCCUGUUUGAAGCUUGAGGGGUCGUUUCUAAGCUCCCCCCACCCUCUCGCCGCGGUGCCCUGAGCGCCCUCAGAGCGGGUCCCACAGCGGCGCCGCCUGUGCCGCCUCCCCCCCCCCCCCAUCCUUCAGUGUGUCAGCGCACCUGGGUUUUUCCCCUCAUUCCUUCCCUCCCUCCCUCCCUCUCUGGGAGCCGCUCUCCCUGCGCCCCACAGAUAAGGCGCUGGGCUCACCCCACCCCACGGGGCGCUCGGUUGUGCUGGAUAAGCAGGGCCCCGCCACGUUGAGGGGAAGUUUGCCCCGUUUCUCUUCCCCCCCCCCCUCGCCCCCGGGUGUUUGACUUCGCACAGGACCCCCCAGCGCACCCUCCCUUAACCCCGCAGGGAGCUGCGAUCACCCCUCACCCCCCCAUCCAUCCCCCUGUCCCGGUUACACUCGUGUCCUCCUAUUAACCCUGUGCAGAGAGGACAAAAGCUAAACUAUGAUCCUGGCUCUGCCUCCCCCCCCCCCCCCCCCAUCCCGCUCCCGGCUCCAUGAGCUUCACAUCCUCCUGCUAAGGCUGAAAGGAACAAGAACAAGAGCUGCUGAUGGUUGUAAGGCCUCGCUCGGCUCUCCCCACCCCCUCCGCCGGCACCAUCCCCCACUGCAGCUCCCAUGGACUCGUAUCCCUCCCAUUAACGCUGAAAGGGGAGGACAGGAGCCCUGAUGGGUUUUUCUCAGGCUUUACUCUUGUUUUUUCCCCCCCACACCCACCCACACACACACCCCCUCUCUACCAACCGGCACCAGCUCCACAGCCCCUGCAGAAGUGCAGAGCUGGCUCUUGCCGGCACAUCCAUGGAUGCCCCUUUCCCUCUGAGCACAUCCAUGAAAUGUCCCUUCCCUCUGAGCUCCAAAGGGGAAAAAAAAAAAAAAAAAAACAAAAACGAAAAAGAGAAAAAAAACCACCCUCGUUCUGCUUAUUCAUUAUAAGCGCUUGGCAGUGUGCUGUUAAAAACGUGCGAUCUCUUGUUUUUAGAAGCAUCUGUGCUUUAAGAAUAAGGUUUUGUCUCCUUGAAUGUGGCUCUUCAUAAUAAUCUCUUGAAGUGCUGCGUUUUUGUCCUUAAAGUUCUAUUUUAUUACCUCUUCUGGAUCGGUGAAGGUCGGUUUAACCCUUUAGAGAUGAAAAUCAGGAGCCACUUUAGGAAAAUGUUGCUUUUUUUCUUUACUAAUUCGUGGUUGCAAUAAUAUUUUAUUGAGGAUUUUUUUCCCCCCAGCCCAGUCCUGCAUGCUGAAGGAAGUGUGUGCUUCAGCACUGAUUAAAGUCAUGUAUGAGUUAAUGAGAAGCUUGCAGAGUAUGUGAAGCAAGAGAAAAUCUUUAACCAGCUCUGCUGUUCCUUCUACAUACCACAAACUUGCACGCUGUAACCAGAAGGUGGAUUGAAUAUGUGUGAAAUGCUGCAGUAGGAGACUCUUAAAUCGCAUCACAGGCUUGCCCUGGAAAAAGAAGAGAGUGACCUUUCCCCAUCUGGAGUAGAUGGAUUUGCCAUCAACAAUUGUAAAUGGAUGACUUAAUGAUGGGGUCUACGCUUGGAAUUUUGAAUUCUGUGAUUGCACCACGUUUCUGGAGUUCUGCACAUGGUCUUUUCUGAACUGGUUGCAGAAGAGCUUUCAGAGGGGCUGCUGGUGCUGGUUAUUUCCUCUAAUUUGGAGUUUCCUCACACUGGGCUUGAGGAGUCUCUGCUGGCUGCCUCACACCAGGAUUUUGAGGAAAUUGUAUCCCACUUCAUCCACAAGGACAUCAACCUCCAGCAUAAAAACAAUGUUGCACCAGACCAAAUGCUCUACUGAUUUUGGGGGCUGUGAGAUCAGCUGUGUCUUCCUUUACCCAGAAAAAUCUGCUUCCUUAUCAAAGAGAGACAUCAGCUUUGUCUGGCAUGAUUGCCUGUGUUAAACCUUUUUUUUUGCAUUUUAUCUCUUUACUUUCCUCUACAUCUUUGCCCCCUCCAGAGGAAAAAUAAUUUACAUUUUGAGGUCAGGUUAAUUAGCCUCCAGUUGUCUGGACUUACUUUCCAGGUAUUUGUAUUGAUUUUGGGGUGGUUUUUUCUCCUUUCUCCCCAUAAUAGGAUGCCAAUUUUUGAUUAUUUUUGUACUUCUAGAAGUGGUAGAAAAAAACCCCACUCAUUUGCAUCACAACUCAACUAUUAGGCUUCAUGUUUUGAUUGGGUUUUGCUUGUUGGUGGGUUUUUUUUUGUUUGGUAUUUUUGCCUUUUUAAAGAAGGAUGCUUUGUCACGACUGUGGAUGCAGGAAAAAGUAAUGAAUUGCAAAGUUCUUCAAAAAAUAAUGAUAAUGAGAAGGUCCUUAAGCAAUGAUAGCUGGGUCCAGGGCUCUGUUAUCCUGUGGCACUGUUGAUAAGUGCCAGUGGCUGAUCACUGACAUGCAGAACUUCUGUUCCUGGUGCUGCUUCAGCUUUAUUUAAACAGAAACUGAAGUGUGCUGGGGACUCUGCACUCGUGCAUGAGGUAGUCCUGAACAAAAUACACUCUAAGAAUAGACAAAGUAAACAAAACAAUGGGAAGACAGUGAAUCCAGAGGGUCAGGAUUACGUAGGGAAGGCUCCAGUGCCCUCAGUGCCCUCCUGAACCCAUGGCACGGGAAAACCGAGGUCAGCCACUAUGUUUCCUGCAGCUGGGGAAAAGUCAUAUUUUUAAAUGCUUUGUUUUGUCCUGUAGUUAAUUCCACUCUUUUUCUAACAGCUAAACUGAACAGGAAUCUUUCUGAGCAGGUUUCACUCAGGUACCCAAUUCUAUCCAAUUAAAUGUUUGGAUUUGGGGUGGUUUUUUGGUGUUGUUUUUUCAGGGGUUUGCCAGAUAUACUCAAUAUUUUUCCAAAUAUUUGAAAACUAUGUAUUUUUUUAUGAUUCUUCAGCAUGUUUUACAGAGGAAGUUCUGACCAAUGCCUUGGUUUUACUGAAAAUUCAUGUCUUAUGCCCAGCCUUUACAAGCAGAGCUAUUGCCAAGGUGUGAUCACCUUGGCCCCUCUCAAGUCAGAGAUAACUGAUAGAUAAAAAUGACCUCGUUUCACAGUCCCACAGCUGAACUCUGAAAGUUCCAGCCAAGCUGGUCAGAAUGUGUUUGAAUUUUUUUGUUUCUAAGUAAAUGUCACUGAGGUACCAACUCGUGACAUUCAGAAUCUGACUUUGAGGCCACGUGCAUUUGAGGUCGAUGGGGUGGAGGCCUCGAGCAGAAAAUGGGUCCCAUCCCCACACACAGACCCCCUGUGUGAAUGUGAACCCCAUGUGGGUUGAUUACAGAACUCAAGAUUGUGAAAUACACAUUUAUGGGUGGCUGCUGAAAGGCAGAUAAUUAGAAUUUCUCUCUGACCCUUCCAUGAGCAAAUGUUUCCAAGCUGCUCAACACCUUGUUUAAGUGGAAUAUUGGGGUUGGUUUGGUUUACUCGUUUUUCCACCAGCUAUUUGUGCCUGCCUUUGUACAGCUGGAAUGAAGGGACGCUACUAAGUGUUCUCCCCAUAGCAUGAAUAUUUAAUAGUUUGCGUGUUCUUUCUCUGUAUCGUGGGUGUGCCUAUAGAACACCAACAAAACAUCUUAAAAUCAGGUUUUGCACGAGAUUUUCAAAGCACAUCAUGGGAUUGAGUCACACUGCUGAGUAAACUACACCACUGUAGCAUUUCACCUAAAAUUUGGGUUUGCCACAUGGUGGUAUUUUACAAACCAGCACGGGUUCAGUGAACUCCCCCUCAAGAUUUAAUUCCAGUUUGAUCCAACUUCCCAGUACGGACAAACUGGUGUCCUUUAGAAAUAAAAGAAAAAAUCUUUAGCCCGCUGAAAAGAAGAUUUUUUUCUUUGUUUCUCAGAUGUGCAGACACUCAUGUUCUCCAGCUCUGAGCUGCUGGGAGUCUGCUGGGCGGAUCCUGCAAAGUGCUGAGUCCAUGGCUAACUUUAAGGGAGUAUAUCCUGAAAAUCACCGGGACUGCUGAUGUUUAAAAUUACACAGAGACUUAAGUACUCUGAUGGCCCCCGGCCAGUGGCCUUCACAUCUUCUAGGACUGAGCCCUAAGGAGACACAGUGUACGGCUGCAGCUGAAUUUCCUUUUCCCAUUUUAAAUAUAAGGUUUAAAGCCCAAAUUCUGACAGCUGUUUAAUUAAAGAUACUCAUUUUAACCGUGAGGAACGUGAUA